UAAUUUCAUCUUCAAACUUAAUAGUCCAUC
Molecule: non-coding RNA, 30 nt
Filed under: Mus musculus (house mouse)
Lineage: Eukaryota; Metazoa; Chordata; Mammalia; Rodentia; Muridae
Source: RNAcentral